Molecule: long non-coding RNA, 444 nt
Filed under: Rattus norvegicus (Norway rat)
Lineage: Eukaryota; Metazoa; Chordata; Mammalia; Rodentia; Muridae
Description: long non-coding RNA NONRATT016158
Source: RNAcentral
GUUACAGUCAAACCAUUCUGACUCGUCUUUCAGUGUUUACUGCUCACCUGCUUGGCGUCAGUCUGGACUCAAAGCUGUUGGCCUUCAUGGUGAUGGUGUCGAUGACAGUUUCCCUCCUUUCGGAUCACUGCUACUUCGGUGUUUUUUAGUAGGCAAAAUGGAUCUACUGGAAGGACACCUUGACCGCCACACCUGACUUGGCCGUGCAACUGCCAGAAACAUGCCUUCCUUAAAACGUUGGGCUAUUCUCCAGCAUCUUGGGCUUUCUUCCUCUGAAGCAUCCCUCUCCACCAUGUGGCUGCUUGCCUGCUGUGUCUGACCUCCAUGCUUCUCAGGGCAUGGCUUUCUGUCCUCCUCUCCUCUACUGCCUUCCCCCAGAUGAAGUCACAAUAUAUGCAAAAGGACUGAAUGCAAUAAGAAUAAGGGAAACGUCAUGACAAACAU